AAAAACAGUUUUAUCUAACCAUGUAUCAUACUUGUUUGGAAAUAAGUUUGUCUUAUUAGGUUUUUAGGUCGACCUUGACUUUCUAUGUCGAAGAUGUGAUUUUCGGAAGAAGAGCUAGCAGAAAUAGAUACUUUGAGGUUCAAUGACGACUUGAUCAUGUUUCACUUCCGUAUUAAUAUAUUUUAUAUGGUAAGAUAAACUAAUAAUCAUGUAUUUCAAUAUGCAUUUAUAAUUUCUAUACUACACAGGUAUGUUUUCGUACCUGUACUGAAUAAUAUAAUAAACAUUAAACAACACAUAAAUGGGGACAAAAAGUGAAUAAAUUUUUGUAAAUAGAGUAUUGAAAAGGAAAGUAUUCAACAUAAAAGGCUGAUUAAAAAACCUUUCUUCUGGAUAGCAAAUCGAUAAUCAGAAGAUGCAGAGGUUUUGCCACUUCAAACAAAAAUAAAUAAACAUUUACGACAUUUGGACUCCUGUUGACAAGUAUACAUGUAUGUGUAGUCAUACCAUGUAUCCUUAUUUUUAUAACGGGCUUGUUAAAAGAUGUUAUAACUGUUAGUUAUUACAGCCACAUAUUACACACUAAGUAUGGGCUUGUUAAAAGAUGUUAUAAAGUUAUUUGUACUAAGUAUGGCUGUUACAACUGUUAGUUAUUACAGCCACAUAUUACACACUAAGUAUGGGCUUGUUAAAAGAUGUUAUAACUGUUAUUUAUUACAGCUACAUACUACACACUAAGUAUGGGCUUGUUAAAAGAUGUUAUAACUGUUAGUUAUUACAGCCACAUAUUACACACUAAGUAUGGACUUGUUAAAAGAUGUUAUAACUGUUAGUUAUUACAGUUACAUAUUACACACUAAGUAUGGGCUUGUUAAAGAUGUUAUAACUGUUAGUUAUUACAGCUACAUAUUACACACUAAGUAUGGGCUUGUUAAAAGAUGUUAUAACUGUUAGUUAUUACAGCUACAUAUUACACACUAAGUAUGGGCUUGAAAAAAGAUGUUAUAACUGUUAGUUAUUACAGCUACAUAUUACACACUAAGUAUGGGCUUGUUAAAAGAUGUUAUAACUGUUAGUUAUAAGCUACAUACUACAAUCAAGUAUGGGCUUGUUAAAAAGUUAUACUGUUAUUUACAGCCACAUAUUACACACUAAGUAUGGGCUGUUAAAAGAUGUUAUAACUGUUAGUUAUUACAGCUACAUAUUACACACUAGUAUGGACUGUUAAGAUGUUAUACUGUUAGUUACAGUUACUUAUGGGCAGCUACAGCUACAUAUUACACACUAAGUAUGGGCUUGUUAAAAGAUGUUAUAACUGUUAGUUAUUACAGCUACAUAUUACACACUAAAUAUGAUUUUCGCGGUUUUAAUUCUUAUUUUUUCCUUUACGGGUUAUGGUUACUAGUAAUUGACAGGUUGGGGACAACCCACCAAAUGGGGAACUAUUCUCCAAAUGACUAAUCAUUUGAUAAUGUUAAAAACAAAAAUCUUUUUUACUUAAAAUGGCACAAAGUUAAUAUUGAAAAUAGCACAAUUUCUUCCGAAGAACUUUAUUUUUAUCAUGGGUUUUAAACGUAUUGAAAACUAGUAACUUCCAAUAAACUCAAGAUCGGGCUAUUCAUCUUUUGAAAAAUGACUGCAUUUUCAUGAAUAUGUGCCAUUGUUAAGUAAAAAGACUCAAAAUUUUUUUUUAAAGAACUACCAAAUGAUUACCCUAUGAGGGAUUGUUUCUCAUUUGACGAAUAGUUCCCCAUUUGGUUGGUUGUACCUAACCUGUUUAAGGGUCUGGUUAAAGAUGGAACAGAACUAUUUACUUUCUGGGGACUAAUUUGCUUUUUUGUGUACCCUACUUAGAUCAUGUAUCUGAACACUGUGAUUUGACAAAAAAUACAGCAUCUACUGAACAUAAUUCCCAAGUUGCUGGAUGAAUCAUGUGUAGAAAAACCUGAUAUUAAUACAUUCGGGCGAAAUGCUUUUUUGAGAAAUUUUCAAUGUUUUGUAAUCACUACAUGAUAAACGACCUAAAAGUGCUAGUGGCCUUAAGUUAUCAAGAUAACAAACAAACAAACAGUUAUCAUACAUAUUCACAUUUAUUUCUGAAUCUAUAGUGAAAAUACUACAGUUAACUAUGUAUGUAGGUUCUGAAUCAGUGUUAGAAAGUUGCGAACAUUCUACAAAAUGUUACUAUUAUCCCCUAUGUGCCAGGAAAUACUACACUUCCACCUAAAGUUAUGUUACCAAUUUGGCUAAGCCUAAGGAAGGUUUGGUUAAGAAGUUAUGUUUAUAACGUUUCUAAAGGUUGGACAACAUUAAAGAACUAAUAUAUGUAACAUUCAAAACAAAACACAUUUUGGGAAUGUUUCAAAAAUAAAUUUUUGCCUCCAUUUGAGUUUCUCCUUUUCUGAAAUAAAUUUUGUUCAUAAGACACUGUCAGAAAUAGCUUAGGCAGCAACCAUUUGAUUUUCUGGGGGGCUAUGGUUUUUUUUGGAAAAAAGUUUUGUUUUCCAGUUUUGCAGAAAAAAUAAUUUGUUUUGAUUCUGAGAAAAAAAAAAAUGUUUGUUUCACCCUCAGCUGCCACUAUAUGUAAUGCUAAAAUUUGAAGAAAAAAAUUGUUUUCCGACUUGUCGCGAAAAAAAAAUAAUUUGUCCAGAAAAAAAAAACCCCCCCCCCCCCCAGAAAAUAAAUGGUUGCUGCCUUAUACUUUAUUUUUUGAACUGCGCUUAAAAUAUUAUCCAAUUCAGCUUCAAAUUUAAGGAAAUUCAUUUGGUUAUUCGAUACACAUAUCUUAACUUAGAAGGAAAAAAAAAAUACAAUAAAGUGUAUUAUAAAAUAUAAAAAAAAUUCAGUGCAAUUGUAGGUAUUUUAAAUUAACUGAGAAACAUUUUAAAUGUAUUUGUUUUUUCAGUUUAUAUGUAUUAUGUAUUUUUUUUUAUCAGUUAUUGCAUUUUCAUAUACAGUGUAUAUCAUACAUUCCAUUGUGCUGAUGAGCAUUAUUUGCUGAGAGUAUUAAAGAAUUGAAGUGGCAUUUUGCUGCUAUUUUGCGAUAAAUCAGUUAGUAAUGAUAAUUUGACAAUUAAUAUAUGAGACCGUUUUGCAUAAAUAGUAAUUCUGUACUAUAACUACUGUUAUCCAGAACUAUGGAGUAGUUACCUAAUUUUCUUUUAAUUUCCAGUUUUGUUACACAAUUACAUCAUCAUUUUAAAUACUGCUAGACAUAAACUAAUACCCUUGAUAUAUUUCUAGUUUGAAAAGUAUAAGAUAUAUUGGAAAAAGGGUAAAUAAAGUAUAUAUCUAAUAAGUUCUUAUCAGCUCGUAAACGUUAGAAUUCGGUUUCGGAUUUUCCAAUAGUUUGACCUCCACAGCAUUCCUGAAUAGACUUUAAUUGUCAUAAUGGGGUCUCGUGUUCAGUGGAAUUUAUUUUGCACAUGAUGUAACCCCUUUUAAGAAGAAACUGAUUUUUAUGGAAUCAGCAGUCAGAAAGGAAGCAAAAGCACUUCUUUCACUGAUAAAAUAAAAUGCUCGAAUAAAAUGUUCAUUGUCGAGGUUUUGUUUGACCUUUUUAUAUAAGUUUUUAAUUUGAAAUAUGAAGGCAGUUAUGAUUAUCUUAAAUAUUAACUUCUUUAAGAAGCGUGUCCUUUGUUUUAAAACCAGAUCCCGUAUUCUUGUUGUUGUUAUUUUUCUGAGACACCAGAUUUAAGCCCCGUGUUCAUGUUGUGCUUUUUCGUGUAGUGUUUUUAUCACAUUUUUUCUUUUUUUAUGUCAUAGUUUUUAGUCAAUUUUCCUUUCACUUACUUAGUAAUAUAUUUAUGUAUUUCCCUGGUAUCUUCUUUGUCCCAAGUUUGAAUCAGUUGCAUGUAUGUUUUUAUUUGUUUAUUUACUUGAUUGCUUGUUUUUAUUUAGUUUAAUGUAAUGUCCAUGUAUAUAUAUUUAAUUUCAGAUUGCCUCUCAUUUUUAUUUUGGUGAGUAAUUAAAUGUAUGAAUAAAAAUCCAUAACGAAGGAAAUUUUAAGCACAUUUUAGAUUGAAUUU
This 4028-nucleotide long non-coding RNA is filed under the name Mytilus galloprovincialis (Mediterranean mussel). The record is from RNAcentral. Lineage: Eukaryota; Metazoa; Mollusca; Bivalvia; Mytilida; Mytilidae.